RNAcentral lists this transfer RNA (53 nucleotides) under Fuscocephaloziopsis lunulifolia. RNAcentral's name for it is "partial tRNA-Leu". The record is from RNAcentral. RNAcentral also lists the same sequence under 1 other name. Lineage: Eukaryota; Viridiplantae; Streptophyta; Jungermanniopsida; Jungermanniales; Cephaloziaceae.
CUUAAAAUCCGUUGGCUUUUUAGACCGUGAGGGUUCAAGUCCCUCUACCCCCA